This 252-nucleotide ribosomal RNA is filed under the name uncultured bacterium. RNAcentral's name for it is "partial 16S ribosomal RNA". It matches the Rfam family "Bacterial small subunit ribosomal RNA", at positions 524 to 776 of the family's 1533-position model. The record is from RNAcentral.
UACGGGGGGGCAAGCGUUGUUCGGAAUUACUGGGCGUAAAGGGCUCGUAGGCGGCCAACUAAGUCAGACGUGAAAUCCCUCGGCUUAACCGGGGAACUGCGUCUGAUACUGGAUGGCUUGAGAUUGGGAGAGGGAUGCGGAAUUCCAGGUGUAGCGGUGAAAUGCGUAGAUAUCUGGAGGAACACCGGUGGCGAAGGCGGAUCUCUGGGCCGUAACUGACGCUGAGGCGCGACAGCGUGGGGAGCAAACAGG